This 427-nucleotide ribosomal RNA is filed under the name uncultured bacterium. RNAcentral describes it as "partial 16S ribosomal RNA". It matches the Rfam family "Bacterial small subunit ribosomal RNA", at positions 355 to 774 of the family's 1533-position model. The record is from RNAcentral.
UGGGGAAUAUUGGACAAUGGGCGAAAGCCUGAUCCAGCCAUGCCGCGUGUGUGAAGAAGGUCUUCGGAUUGUAAAGCACUUUAAGUUGGGAGGAAGGGCAUUAACCUAAUACGUUAGUGUUUUGACGUUACCGACAGAAUAAGCACCGGCUAACUCUGUGCCAGCAGCCGCGGUAAUACAGAGGGUGCAAGCGUUAAGCGGAAUUACUGGGCGUAAAGCGCGCGUAGGUGGUUUGUUAAGUUGGAUGUGAAAGCCCCGGGCUCAACCUGGGAACUGCAUCCAAAACUGGCAAGCUAGAGUACGGUAGAGGGUGGUGGAAUUUCCUGUGUAGCGGUGAAAUGCGUAGAUAUAGGAAGGAACACCAGUGGCGAAGGCGACCACCUGGACUGAUACUGACACUGAGGUGCGAAAGCGUGGGGAGCAAACA